GGUAGCAUAAUCACUUGUCCCCUAAAUAGGGACUAGUAUGAACGGCUAAAUGAGGAUCACACUGUCUCUUGUAAUUGACCUAUGAAACUGAUCAUGUAGUCCAAAAGCUACAAUAAAAACACCAGACGAGAAGACCCUGUGGAGCUUAAACCAAAACCAAACUAAUGCCCCUUGGUUUUUAGUUGGGGUAACUUCGGAGAACACUCUAACCUCCGAUAAAAUUUCCAAGACAAACUAGUCAAAACAAUUUCUCGACCCAAUAGCUAAUAAACUAUUUGACCAAUGAACCAAGUUACCCCAGGGAUAACAGCGCUAUCCCCUUUCAGAGUCCCUAUCGACAAGGGGGCUUACGACCUCGAUGUUGGAUCAGGACACCCCAAUAAUGCAGCCGUUAUUAAAGGUUCGUUUGUUCAACGAUUAAAGUCCU
Molecule: ribosomal RNA, 427 nt
Filed under: Mesalina adramitana
Lineage: Eukaryota; Metazoa; Chordata; Lepidosauria; Squamata; Lacertidae
Description: partial large subunit ribosomal RNA
Rfam family: Bacterial large subunit ribosomal RNA
Source: RNAcentral